UGGAGUUCGAGAGAGGUGAGUGGAAUUUCCGGUGUAGCGGUGAAAUGCGUAGAUAUCGGAAGGAACACCAGUGGCGAAGGCGGCUUCCUGGACUAAUACUGACACUGAGGUGCGAAAGCGUAGGGAGCAAACAGGAUUAGAGACCCUGGUAGUCCACGCUGUCAACGAUGAGAACUAGCUGUUAGAAAACUUGUUUUCUGGUAGCGAAGCUAACGCGUUAAGUUCUCCGCCUGGGGAGUACGACCGCAAGGUUAAA
This 256-nucleotide ribosomal RNA is filed under the name uncultured Coxiella sp. RNAcentral's name for it is "partial 16S ribosomal RNA". It matches the Rfam family "Bacterial small subunit ribosomal RNA", at positions 642 to 898 of the family's 1533-position model. Lineage: Bacteria; Pseudomonadati; Pseudomonadota; Gammaproteobacteria; Legionellales; Coxiellaceae. The record is from RNAcentral.